This 208-nucleotide ribosomal RNA is filed under the name uncultured bacterium. RNAcentral describes it as "partial 16S ribosomal RNA". It matches the Rfam family "Bacterial small subunit ribosomal RNA", at positions 568 to 774 of the family's 1533-position model. The record is from RNAcentral.
CUCGUAGGCGGUUCAGUAAGUUGGGUGUGAAAGCUCCGGGCUCAACCCGGAGAGGCCACCCAAUACUGCUGUGACUAGAGUCCAGUAGAGGAGCGUGGAACUCCUGGUGUAGCGGUGAAAUGCGCAGAUAUCAGGAAGAACACCAGCAGCGAAGGCGGCGCUCUGGGCUGGUACUGACGCUGAGGAGCGAAAGCAUGGGUAGCAAACA